RNAcentral lists this ribosomal RNA (111 nucleotides) under Propithecus coquereli (Coquerel's sifaka). Lineage: Eukaryota; Metazoa; Chordata; Mammalia; Primates; Indriidae. The record is from RNAcentral.
GUCUAUGACCAUACCACCCUGAACGUGCCCAAUCUCAUCUGAUCUUGGAAGCUCAGGGUCAUUCCUUGUUAGUACUUGGAUGGGAGUUCUGGAGGCUAAAAGUCCAAGAUC